GGCGAACGGGUGAGUAACACGUGAGCAACCUGCCCCUGACUCUGGGAUAAGCGCUGGAAACGGCGUCUAAUACUGGAUAUGUGACGUGACCGCAUGGUCUGCGUUUGGAAAGAUUUUUCGGUUGGGGAUGGGCUCGCGGCCUAUCAGCUUGUUGGUGAGGUAAUGGCUCACCAAGGCGUCGACGGGUAGCCGGCCUGAGAGGGUGACCGGCCACACUGGGACUGAGACACGGCCCAGACUCCUACGGGAGGCAGCAGUGGGGAAUAUUGCACAAUGGGCGAAAGCCUGAUGCAGCAACGCCGCGUGAGGGAUGACGGCCUUCGGGUUGUAAACCUCUUUUAGCAGGGAAGAAGCGAAAGUGACGGUACCUGCAGAAAAAGCGCCGGCUAACUACGUGCCAGCAGCCGCGGUAAUACGUAGGGCGCAAGCGUUAUCCGGAAUUAUUGGGCGUAAAGAGCUCGUAGGCGGUUUGUCGCGUCUGCUGUGAAAUCCCGAGGCUCAACCUCGGGCCUGCAGUGGGUACGGGCAGACUAGAGUGCGGUAGGGGAGAUUGGAAUUCCUGGUGUAGCGGUGGAAUGCGCAGAUAUCAGGAGGAACACCGAUGGCGAAGGCAGAUCUCUGGGCCGUAACUGACGCUGAGGAGCGAAAGGGUGGGGAGCAAACAGGCUUAGAUACCCUGGUAGUCCACCCCGUAAACGUUGGGAACUAGUUGUGGGGUCCAUUCCACGGAUUCCGUGACGCAGCUAACGCAUUAAGUUCCCCGCC
Molecule: ribosomal RNA, 765 nt
Filed under: Microbacterium sp. A2bC-2
Lineage: Bacteria; Bacillati; Actinomycetota; Actinomycetes; Micrococcales; Microbacteriaceae
Description: bacterial SSU rRNA
Rfam family: Bacterial small subunit ribosomal RNA
Source: RNAcentral